AUGCACGCUGGCGGCGUGCCUCAUCCAUGCAAGUCGAGCGCACAGACGAGGAGCUUGCUCCUCUGACGUUAGCGGCGGACGGGUGAGUAACACGUGGAUAACCUACCUAUAAGACUGGGAUAACUUCGGGAAACCGGAGCUAAUACCGGAUAAUAUAUUGAACCGCAUGGUUCAAUAGUGAAAGACGGUUUUGCUGUCACUUAUAGAUGGAUCCGCGCCGCAUUAGCUAGUUGGUAAGGUAACGGCUUACCAAGGCGACGAUGCGUAGCCGACCUGAGAGGGUGAUCGGCCACACUGGAACUGAGACACGGCCCAGACUCCUACGGGAGGCAGCAGUAGGGAAUCUUCCGCAAUGGGCGAAAGCCUGACGGAGCAACGCCGCGUGAGUGAUGAAGGUCUUCGGAUCGUAAAACUCUGUUAUUAGGGAAGAACAAAUGUGUAAGUAACUAUGCACGUCUUGACGGUACCUAAUCAGAAAGCCACGGCUAACUACGUG
This 496-nucleotide ribosomal RNA is filed under the name uncultured bacterium. RNAcentral's name for it is "partial 16S ribosomal RNA". It matches the Rfam family "Bacterial small subunit ribosomal RNA", at positions 29 to 507 of the family's 1533-position model. The record is from RNAcentral.